CUUUGUUGCCAGCGGUCCGGCCGGGAACUCAAAGGAGACUGCCAGUGAUAAACUGGAGGAAGGUGGGGAUGACGUCAAGUCAUCAUGGCCCUUACGACCAGGGCUACACACGUGCUACAAUGGCAUAUACAAAGAGAAGCGACCUCGCGAGAGCAAGCGGACCUCAUAAAGUAUGUCGUAGUCCGGAUUGGAGUCUGCAACUCGACUCCAUGAAGUCGGAAUCGCUAGUAAUCGUAGAUCAGAAUGCUACGGUGAAUACGUUCCCGGGCCUUGUACACACCGCCCGUCACACCAUGGGAGUGGGUUGCAAAAGAAGUAGGUAGCUUAACCUUCGGGAGGGCGCUUACCACUUUGUGAUUCAUGACUGGGGUGAAGUCGUAACAAGGUAACCGUAGGGGAACCUGCGGUUGGAUCACCUCCUU
Molecule: ribosomal RNA, 422 nt
Filed under: Klebsiella pneumoniae
Lineage: Bacteria; Pseudomonadati; Pseudomonadota; Gammaproteobacteria; Enterobacterales; Enterobacteriaceae
Description: bacterial SSU rRNA
Rfam family: Bacterial small subunit ribosomal RNA
Source: RNAcentral